Molecule: long non-coding RNA, 4514 nt
Organism: Lolium perenne
Lineage: Eukaryota; Viridiplantae; Streptophyta; Magnoliopsida; Poales; Poaceae
Source: RefSeq, a predicted model, not a curated record
UUGCACUGUAGAUGGGUGAUGCUGCGCAUUAGGUCUCCCGCGGAUGUUAGUUUCGUCGUUUUAUUUUUACGUGUUAAAUUCUCUUCCACCGCUUCUUGCCGGUGAUUUUCUAUUUUACAUCCGGUUGCUUCCGGUUUCUCAUGCCUUCUCGUAUUUAUUUACUACACGGUUCCCAGUUUCCCGGUCGCCAGUUAUUGUGCCGCUUCUACCUAUCUCGAGGCGUACUCUUCCGCCUCUUUACGGCCACGUGCCGUGACCCUGGCUUUCCACCGCAGGAGCUUCUCUCCAGAAAUCCAAAUUGUUCUUUUCUCUUGCCCAGAUCUUCCAUCGACAGCUCCACCUCUAUCUAUCCAAAAAUAUAUCUCCAUCUCCAUUGGAUCUCCUAGCUGGGCUCUUCACCACCUACCUGAAACACAGGAGCCCCUACCCGUCGGCCUGCCCCUGUUCAGCGGCCAUGCCUAGGUUCAGUCCUCUCAAGCGUUGCGCCCGACACCGACGCGCUCCGGUUCCCGGUGCAGCUGCUCGCCUGAACAGUGGCCACUAGGCCCACUAUGGUACUGGUACAUGGUGGCGCAUGGCCGCAAUCCCGCACGUGCGAGCGGCAGCGACCGUGGAGUGCAGCGGCGGACCGAGCUCCGCCUUCCACACCCUGUCGCGGCCCUGGAUCCUCCGAGCUUGGGGCACGCGAGGUGGCGUGGCUCAACGGGCGGUCUCAUGUUCUCUGACGGCAACGGCCGAGGAGGACGUCCUCCUGCAGCCGUAUCCCACCUCUCCCCUGUCAACAUCUAGCUUCAGCCGGUUAUCCUCCUCCUCAUUCCUCAGCUCGGUAUCCACCGCCGGGAGUCAUCUACUAUUCUGCGCGAUUUCCUCGCACCUCCCAAGUCCGUCGCCCUGCAGCCUCCGGUCAGACUCGAUGCAGAUGACAUCCGCCGCCGCGUCCUGCUCAGCUGCUCGCCUUGGUUACAGAGAAAACUGCGGUGGCCACCACGAGGUCGAGGGAGAUGGCGACCACGCGCUCUGACGGUGGCCUACUCCACCUCGCCGCCCCUGCCCCGUGGACAGCGUCCUCAACGCCCAGGUGUCAUCUCCUAUGGGCCGGCACCCUCGAGCCAUCCCUGAUGCAGCGGAGCCAUCGACGUGAGACUUUCAGGUGUUUUCCUCUUGGUACCAUUGCUGAUCGGUUCGUCCGUGUGUCCGAGUAACGCCAACGGCCGCGCAGAGCCCCGUCGUCUGAUGUGCAGCGGAGGCGGCCCGGAGAGAUCGGUUCUUCUCCUGGUUUGUCGGCCCUGUUCACGUGUCGCCGGUGUGCUGCUCCACGGGAGACUGACGCUAGGGGCAGUAUUGCGCAGGCAGCGACGCAUCGUGGGUCCGUUGUUUUGGCCCCCGAUGCCAGCACUACAACUGCCUGCUCCGGCUUUUUGAGAGUGGCCUUGACUGGGAGCCGCCCCACCACCGCCGGGAAGGCGACGAGGACGCUCAUGAAGGAUUGCCGUCUUGCCGAUGUGUGUCUCCUCGUGCUUCAAGACGGAAGCAUAGUCUGGAUCUCAUUGGUGGUGGUUUUAGAUGCCAGGGUGCCAAUUUCUUUUGUGCAAAUGAGAAUCUGUGUAUGUUUGACAGGAGGUCAACUGCAUCUUUAUUUUGGUUGAGUUUUUGCAAGAUCACAGGUAAUCGCAUAAUUGUUUUUUUUUUCUAUAGCUCAGUAGUAUUAGUCAUGGGAAGCGAUUCUUCCAUUUUGUUUCAGAAAACAAAGUUAGACAUGUUCAUUGCACUGAUUUCUGAAUAGUAGUAUCUUUUCCGCUUGGGAUUUCCUAAUUCAACAACUAUGUGUGGCCUCCUGCUUUGGCAACAAAUAAAUGGAUCAACCUCCAUGACUCAUCCAUCAAAUGACACUCUAAAACCACCACAAAAUACCAGGAUUUCAGCCGCCACAUCUUCCGAGGACACUAUAGUGAUGGUCUAUUCAGAACUGGGUGAUGUAAACACAUACAAAUUCUAUCUAGGUGUGCAAAAACUGACAUCAAUAUAUCAUCUUAUGUAUUACCAUUCUUUAUAUGCAACGAAACAAACAGAACACUUGACACCAGGAAAAUGAACUCGAGAACAGCUGCUGCACCAGCCAAAAAAAGGUCUACUUUUGAAUCAGCUUCAUUCUUGCGAAGUUGUACUAGCAGCUCAGUGUAUACUCAUUGUCUACAAUCCAACCAAUGAGAAAAAACAAAUCUAAGGAAUUGUGACCAUCCAAAUAGGUAACUACGCCUUGCCAGGUAAAAGAUAUGUUUCAGUAAAUGGUAUAGGUCACAGUAUUUUGACGAAAUGCAGCUUGACUGCUUUCAUUGCGCUUAGAAGAGGGAAAAGUACAAACGGAAGGAGACCUUCCUCAGGUACCAAGUUAGGCCAAAGAAGCCUGGUCACAGUAAAGCAAAUAACAUUAAUUCAAUGCUCUUUUCCUUGCAGCAGAUAUAAGAGUUCGAGAAUGGCACGCAGGCACUGUAAUAUUAGGUACCUUAUAAAACUACUGCUCAGUAUAUGACAUAGGCCAUGUUAUUAUUAGGUGGCGGUUCACGGCAUGGUUUGGGGAGUUCCAUGCAUCGAGCAAAAGCAAGUGACCCCCGCCCUAUUUUCAGGAGGCCGGAAGUACUUUAGCAAAAGCAAAGUAAAUAUUCAAGUAUAUAUGCAGUAAGCAAAAAAAAAAACAAGCGCCAAAUGAUCAUUAUUAGUACCUAACCUGCUCUGAUUGCAUUCAUUUCAGUAGCUAGCUCAUCCUUCGUGUAAUAUUGUUGUUCAUAGUUAUUGAUUUGCUUAGCCCAUUUCAGUAACUUUUUCCCCUUAAAAUCCAGCACCUAUACGACCUUCAGGUGUGGAGUCAGAUGCAAGGCAACAAAUAUUGUAGUUGUUCCUACACACACUUAGUUCCUUCCAUUAUCUGAUUAGAUGGCAUUAUACUGUAGAUGGGUACAGAGUCAUGGAGGUUCAUCAAGUGUGAUUAGUAUAAGGCAACCUUGAACAUUACUGGUUCUGAAACAUGCCAUGGUCAGAUCAGCAGCUCCAAUGGAGAUGACACCUAAGGUUAUACGCUGUAAGGUUCAGGAUGCAACAAGGUUAGCAUGAAUGAAAAUUUUCGUCCUGCAUUGUUUCUGUGGGCUAAGAUAAUGAUUUUUUUUUUGGCCUUCACAGAACUUCCUUUGUUCAGUAGAAAUAUAUGUGAGUUGAGGAUUAUGUUGAUUCUUUCCUGCAGUUGGAGUAUUGUUUUUAUGCAUGACAUCCGUUUAAUGGAAUGCUUAAUGUUAAUGAUAUGCAUAGGUGUUAUUUUUUCUCAACUGAACUAUUUUGUAGCUUCAGUUCAGUUUUGAUUUUUCCCUACGUUUUGAACAUUCAUGUUAUAUACAGUAACUGUAUCUUCGUGGCCAUCCGGAGUAUGGUGCUUUUGUAAGGAUUUAGGAAUGUACUAAUUAGGCGUUUAUUUAUUGCGUCCACCUUAGUCUUUGGGCUAUAGUUCAGAAAAGACAGUUCAUCCAUUAUUUUCCUCUCUUCCUUACUAAUUGUAGUACUCGAAAUGCGGAAUCCAUUAUUUUCCUCUGUUCCUUCCUAAUUGAAUUGCUGGAAACACGGAAGGUUCGAGUUAAUGGUACGGAUGUACAUUCUAUUAUAUUAGUCUAUACAAGAGUAGUAAAUAUAGAUUCUUCUAUAUUUGUGUUUGCUUUGCUCCACUCUAUGUAAAAUGCUUGGUUAUUUUUAGCAACCAAUGCAUAGGUUCACAUGUCAAAACAUGGAUAGACAUUAUUGUCUUGCUCAGUUUAUGCAAUUUGCCGUCCUUUUUUAUUUAUUUUGUUUUUACCUCCAGGAAGCCUCCCAUUCUCUGAAUUAUGUAUAUGCCAGUGUUUCGUUUUAACAAUUUCAAUAUUUGUAUAUCUCUGUCGCCUGCUACAGUAUGUUAGUGUCUUAUUUUCAGUUAUCUUUCAGUUCCCAGCCAGUGCUUAGUUGGUUCUUUUUCAAAUUAAGAGGUAAGGUAGUUUUAUUUACUUUUAUGGUAUAUGAUAUAGCCGUGUUAGACUUCAUGUGUCAUCAGACCGACCUACCGUACCGCCUACAUUUAGAAGCAGCAUGGUUUAACGCUUCCACUCUCUUGGCAAAAAAAUAAUAUCUUUCUUGCCCGUAGGAUUGUGCUCUAUAAUUCUGAUGCUAAGACAAAUACGACGUAUAUUUGAUGGCAGCGCAGGAACACCAAGGGCGCGGCGUGCGCCGCGCCGCAAACUUCCUAGUACUAUAUAUAAAAGCUGAAGGGGUUUGCCCUCACCACAUUGAUUCAGGCACUGUUCAUGUGCAUAUGAACAGUACUCCAGCCAUUUUUUUCGUUUUCUUUUAGAAUAUUUUUUAGAUUUCCUGAUUCUAAUUUUUUAGAGUUUUCGAUAAUGAUUUCUCUAGCAAUUUCUCGUGUUAACUAUUAAGCAGUAAUUCUUCGUGAGGCUGUAAUUACAUGUAUUUUUCCAAAAGCGGUUUCUUGAAUCAAUGUUAUA